Molecule: transfer RNA, 72 nt
Organism: Pirellula staleyi DSM 6068
Lineage: Bacteria; Pseudomonadati; Planctomycetota; Planctomycetia; Pirellulales; Pirellulaceae
Rfam family: tRNA
About the family: Transfer RNA (tRNA) molecules are approximately 80 nucleotides in length. Their secondary structure includes four short double-helical elements and three loops (D, anti-codon, and T loops). Further hydrogen bonds mediate the characteristic L-shaped molecular structure. tRNAs have two regions of fundamental functional importance: the anti-codon, which is responsible for specific mRNA codon recognition, and the 3' end, to which the tRNAs corresponding amino acid is attached (by aminoacyl-tRNA synthetases). tRNAs cope with the degeneracy of the genetic code in two manners: having more than one tRNA (with a specific anti-codon) for a particular amino acid; and 'wobble' base-pairing, i.e. permitting non-standard base-pairing at the 3rd anti-codon position.
Source: Rfam
GCGGCAGUAGCUCAGUGGUAGAGCGCUAGCUUCCCAAGCUGGAUGUCGCGGGUUCGACCCCCGUCUGCCGCU